UUUAAAUCAAUUCUAUGGAUCCAAAAACCAAUUGUUUAAGUUGCUUUCUUAGUUAAUGUGAUUAAUUAAGAAAAUGGUGAUUAUGAACCAAAGGCCUCUAUAAUUGAGCUAUGUGAUUGGCCGCUUUACAUUAUGAAUGUUUGGGUUUGGUAGUGUAGAUAUUGAAUGUAAUUUGAUUAAUUCAAUUUGUUGUAAAUGGACAUAAGUCCAUCAUUUGUGUUGUAAAAGGGCAUAAGCCCUUCUUAUUAUUUCAUGUAUUCCUUUUUGUUUAUUUGUAUGCAAAAUGGAAUAGUUGGGUCCAACGCCCAAUAGGAAAUAACGGUUUAAUUGGAUUAAACGCGUAACUAAAAUCAACAACUAUCUACCUUAAACCCAAGGUCCAACACAAGGCUCGUGUUGGAUCAAAUUAAACGGUUCAUAAUCAUCCUAAAACCUAAUAUGACUAUAUAGUCCAUAUGAGGAUGCAAUGCGUUCGUUAGUAGUUCCAUAUAGUCUCGCUUGUUUCAACGAAACAGUGAGAGUAUUAUAUGCUACUAAUUCAUAUUAACUUGGACCAAUGGUUAUGAUAGGCCCAAGUUCUUUUAAUAUGAUUAAAAUGAUUUUGAUGUAGCCCAAAACUACUCCCUUGACAAACGAAUAUUAAGUUGAUAAGUGAGAGAUGUUUUGAACAUCUCUUCGUAGGCCUUCCACCGUGGUGGGCUCCAAUCGUUUGUGACUCAUGCA
This 723-nucleotide long non-coding RNA is filed under the name Malus domestica (apple). Its description in RNAcentral is "long non-coding RNA (MDOM_LNC000383)". Lineage: Eukaryota; Viridiplantae; Streptophyta; Magnoliopsida; Rosales; Rosaceae. The record is from RNAcentral.